Molecule: ribosomal RNA, 396 nt
Filed under: uncultured bacterium
Lineage: Bacteria
Description: partial 16S ribosomal RNA
Rfam family: Bacterial small subunit ribosomal RNA
Source: RNAcentral
AUACGUAGGUGGCGAGCGUUAUCCGGAUUUACUGGGUGUAAAGGGCGCGUAGGCGGGGUUGCAAGUCAGGUGUGAAAUCUAGGGGCUCAACCCCUAAACUGCACUUGAAACUGCAGAUCUUGAGUGUCGGAGAGGUUGAAGGAAUUCCUAGUGUAGCGGUGAAAUGCGUAGAUAUUCGGAGGAACACCAGUGGCGAAGGCGGUCAACUGGACGAUAACUGACGCUGAGGCGCGAAAGCGUGGGGAGCAAACAGGAUUAGAUACCCUGGUAGUCCGCGCCGUAAACGAUGAAUACUAGGUGUGGGGGGACUGACCCCCUCCGUGCCGCAGUUAACACAAUAAGUAUUCCACCUGGGGAGUACGGCCGCAAGGUUGAAACUCAAAUGAAUUGACGGGG